UACGUAGGGUGCAAGCGUUAAUCGGAAUUACUGGGCGUAAAGCGUGCGCAGGCGGUUGUGCAAGACAGAUGUGAAAUCCCCGGGCUCAACCUGGGAAUUGCAUUUGUGACUGCACGGCUAGAGUGUGUCAGAGGGGGGUAGAAUCCACGUGUAGCAGUGAAAUGCGUAGAGAUGUGGAGGAAUACCGAUGGCGAAGGCAGCCCCUGGGAUAACACUGACGCUCAUGCACGAAAGCGUGGGGAGCAAACAGG
Molecule: ribosomal RNA, 251 nt
Filed under: uncultured bacterium
Lineage: Bacteria
Description: partial 16S ribosomal RNA
Rfam family: Bacterial small subunit ribosomal RNA
Source: RNAcentral